AUACGGAGGAUCCGAGCGUUAUCCGGUUUUAUUGGGUUUAAAGGGAGCGUAGGUGGACAGUUAAGUCAGUUGUGAAAGUUUGCGGCUCAACCGUAAAAUUGCAGUUGAUACUGGCUGUCUUGAGUACAGUAGAGGUGGGCGGAAUUCGUGGUGUAGCGGUGAAAUGCUUAGAUAUCACGAAGAACUCCGAUUGCGAAGGCAGCUCACUGGACUGCAACUGACACUGAUGCUCGAAAGUGUGGGUAUCAAACAGGAUUAGAUACCCUGGUAGUCCACACAGUAAACGAUGAAUACUCGCUGUUUGCGAUAUACAGUAAGCGGCCAAGCGAAAGCAUUAAGUAUUCCACCUGGGGAGUACGCCGGCAACGGUGAAACUCAAAGGAAUUGACGGGG
RNAcentral lists this ribosomal RNA (393 nucleotides) under uncultured bacterium. RNAcentral's name for it is "partial 16S ribosomal RNA". It matches the Rfam family "Bacterial small subunit ribosomal RNA", at positions 523 to 918 of the family's 1533-position model. The record is from RNAcentral.